Long non-coding RNA from Cynoglossus semilaevis (tongue sole), 390 nucleotides. RefSeq lists it as uncharacterized. The record is from RefSeq and is a predicted model, not a curated record. The transcript is spliced from 4 exons. Lineage: Eukaryota; Metazoa; Chordata; Actinopteri; Pleuronectiformes; Cynoglossidae.
UGCCUUUGUCAUUUUUGAUACUCACAGUUCAGCUCCAGAUCCAUAGAUGGAGUACUUAACUUCACCCCAUUGUCCAGAGUCCGGAUCUACUGCCUGCAAACAACAAUGGAGAAGACCAAAAACAUCAGAACGUCGGUGGGUUGUUGUUGAGGUCCACUACACGAAUGACCACUGGAGUUACACUGUGGUCCAUGGGUCUGCCCUCAGGAUCUACCUCUGUCGCCUGGACACAGAUAUAACACCUUUGAAAUGCGGGGACUGAAGUGAUGAAAGAGCAGUGUGACCUUCUGUGAAGUCCAACUGCUCUCCGGAUUUGAUACGAACGACGCCGCUGUGUCUGUCAACCGCAAACAUGGACGUCUGAGGAUUCUGUAACACAGGCGGAGGAGG